AUAUUUGUAUUGUUACUUUUAGGGUUUAGAUUUUUUUGUUGUGAUUAUUUAAAACAAUUUUUACAUUUUUAAAAAAUGUUACAUAUUAAUAUUGAUUAAAGGUAAAAUGUUACAUAUUAGUCAUUAAUCUUUAAAUCAAAGGUUAAAAUUUUCAUUUUUAUAGUAGAGGACAAGUGUUAGUUUCUAAUCUCUUUAAAAAUUCUUUUAAAUAGAGUAGUAUGGAUCUCUUAAAAUUUAGAAGAAUUUCAAAUAUUGGAAAUAUUAAAACAAUUAUAAGAUUUAUCAUAAUUAAAAUCCUAUGUAUGUGUAUGAUGUAUGGGUGAAAUCUUCUAGAUAAAAAAGAUUCUCUUUUUGUAUAAGUCAUGACCCAUAGUAUCAUAUGUAUUAAUAGUAGUAAAAUUUAUAGUAUUUUACAAGUCUAUUUUAGUUCAAAAAAUUUGAAAAUUACUUAAAUUUGGUAUGUUUAAUGUGUGAUUUCUUGAUCGUUAGGUUUAAGACAUAUAGGACGUGAAAGAUAGAUGAAUGCCAUGCAAUUCCAUGCAAGAUUAGCAUAAUCCCAAUUCUUGUAGUAUUCAGACAAUUUAAUAAAGGAAAGUAGUUGAAUCCUAUUAGCAUUAAGACUCAUAAACCCAUUUGAUUAAAAGACAUACUACUUGCACUAAAACUCUUAUAUCCAUUCAAUUAUCCUACUCACUACUAUUACUGUACAUACAGAGGGGGAGAAGCCCUAAGAAAAGUCUAUUUCGCCUAGUUGAGCUUUUUUGAGUGUGGCGAGGUCUUGAGAGGAAGAAGCUGGCGAGUAGACUUCUUGGGCUAUGUUCGGUAGAAGACUUCCAUAAAUGUUGGAAGGCACCUUCCGCGGGAUGCUGUCCCACUCGCAGGAGCCGACGGGGUGACCCACAUAACGAUCAAAAUGAACUAGUAGCUCAUUUAUUUUCAUUGGUUAGUUUAGGACAGUGGUACCAAAUUACAAUCUUUACGACUAUUAAGAUAAAGACGUAUGAAAGGACUAUGCCCUCCAUGAAGGGCACGACAUAGUAGGUAGCAGAUGUUUAAUUGAAGGGUUGAAAAACUCUACUUAACCACUACAAAAAUUGCGUAAAAAAAACAUAUUUUAAUAAGGGAAUAUAACCUAGCUUAAAUUGAGUAAGAGCAAGAUACUUGACUUAUAUGUCAAUAAAAUGUACCUAAAGGGAAUUAUGUAUCAAUAUUAGAGUUAAAUCAAUAAAAUUUUAAAAAAUUUUAAUUUUCUAAAACCAAGAUCAAUUAAUAAGAUUAUACAAACAAAUAACUUCAUAAACAUGCAUAUGUUUUGGUUUAGGUGCUUACCUUAGAUGUCAAAAUUCUUUUGGUUCAAUUUGGUAAUCUCUUAAAUAAAUUCUAAGUCAAAAAGCUGCCAAAUGUUCAACCUCUAAUGGUGAUCCAUACAAACUCUUAUG
This 1439-nucleotide long non-coding RNA is filed under the name Durio zibethinus. Its description in RNAcentral is "long non-coding RNA (DZIB_LNC002246)". Lineage: Eukaryota; Viridiplantae; Streptophyta; Magnoliopsida; Malvales; Malvaceae. The record is from RNAcentral.